CGGUUAAAUUAAGUUAUUUAUAAUGACCUUAGGGCGAGGAGAUGGGGACGUUGGGUCUUAGUGGACUAGGUGUUGCACCUCCCGGAGCCCGCGUCACUUUCAUAACAUCUGGGUCUGUAAAUGGCUUCCACAACUACUAAUAGAAAAUUUAUUACUUACUCACUUUAGUAAUAGCGGCCGUCGCGACCCAGAUAAGACUCUAGACAAGCUGGUUGUCAUCGGCAAGGUGGAAGGCUAUCUGGGCAGAUCACUGACUCGCUGUUGUAACCUAGCCACGAUUCUCACGGGUCUCCACAUAAUAGCUGCGCUAAGGGUAGCUACAGACCGAACUAGCAGGGCAGCAGGCAUCUUAAGCAACGAAGAAUAUGAUUGAGGCGAAGAAGACUGCGGCCGCACCAGCUUGAUUCCUUCAAUUAGUUUUUUAUAUGUUGCUCAACGUUAAUUUUCUGCACAGCGAAUCUUAUCCCUGAGGUCGUAGGUCGAUCC
Molecule: long non-coding RNA, 486 nt
Organism: Pieris brassicae (large cabbage white)
Lineage: Eukaryota; Metazoa; Arthropoda; Insecta; Lepidoptera; Pieridae
Exons: 3
Source: RefSeq, a predicted model, not a curated record